This is a long non-coding RNA of Echinops telfairi (small Madagascar hedgehog), 1570 nucleotides long. RefSeq lists it as uncharacterized. The transcript has 3 exons. Lineage: Eukaryota; Metazoa; Chordata; Mammalia; Afrosoricida; Tenrecidae. The record is from RefSeq and is a predicted model, not a curated record.
ACGCCCGCCCCAUCCCAGGAGGCUAUGAGAGGCGCGAGUCACGGCCACUCGCUUCCCCCAGCCUUCGGGGCGUAUGCUGAAACUCGAGUGUGAGCCCGGAAUUUAGGGCCAUCUCCCGGUCGUGUGCAGCCGACUGACCUUUUUGAUCUCCUGACUGCUGCUUCCACGAGCGCUGAUUGCCGAUCAAAGUAAGACGAAGUCCUUGGUAACUUCCACCUUUGCUCCAUUGAUCACGAUGUGACCUCUGGUCCAGUGGCGAGGACACUGCUCGUCCCUACCGAGUUGUGAUCCACACCGAAGGCUCCAAUCGUUGGUCUUCAUCGGCAGGUGCUUCGGGUGCUCCUCACCUUCAGCCGCAAGAUGGAGCACGUACGAUGAGAAGAUACACCCUGACACGCACCUUUCCUGAUGUUAAACCACGCAGUCUGCCCUUGUUCUGUUUGUAUAACUGCCUCUUGAUCCAUGGACACGUCCCAGUUAAACGGUAAAUAACCUUCAGAAGGAUGCAAAGUCCAGAACACUUCAGUGGGGGCUCAUCUGGAGCUUGCACGUGGAUCAGAAUGAUGAUCCAGGUCUCAAUCCUGAUUCCAUCUUAGAAACCCAACCAACCCUCCUGCUGUCGUAACAGAACUGCUCCGCGGGGAUUCUGAGUCUAUACAUUUUCAUAGGAAGAGACAACUACAUGUUUCUCUUGGGAUGCCUGGUAGAUUUGAACCACUGACCUUGUAGUGGGCAGCUAAGCUCGUUAACCACUGCACUCUCAGGUGUCCUUGACUCUCUUGGCUUUUGCUCAUUUUCCUAGAAACCGCCAGACUCUUAGUCUUAAGUACAUAACAAAUGAAAUGUCUCAUGUGGUUGGAUAAAGAGAUGGAAAGGCUGUUCCUAAGUGAGGGUCUUGACACAAACCCUUAUCAGAGAUUCCCUUAGUUAUCCUCAGACAGUGUUUUAAGAGAAUUAUCCUCGGUCACCAAGAAGAUCCGGCAGCUUGCGAAUAGUGCAAGUCAGGUGCGUGGCACCCUUGUGAGGAUGAGACCAUGCCAGUGAGGUGUGUGGAACCCAACGAGGGCAUUGGUCAUUUCUGCGUCCUACUGGGAUUAAAAUGUGCCAUCCCAGCAGAGGAAAGGAGGACCACAUUGCCACCAAAAAGAAAAGACUGAAGUGGAACCUGCCCUUGGGACCUGGGAGGUCCCUGCACCCACUUCCUGCACCCAGGAGAACCAGAGAUGAAGGAAGGACUUCCGGGUCCACAGAACCUCGUGGUUGCAGAGGAACUCAAAAGGGCUCUGCUCUAGUGAUCUGUGAGUGCCUGGUGGAGUGGGGUGCCUCUGGACACUUACUGGCAGAGUUAAAGAACAUCGUAACAGUUGCUUGAGCAGGGCAGAGCCCAGACCCAGGGGCCAAGGACCCAGAGGCCAAGAAGGAGAGGUCUACCUGUGGGCAUUGCUGAGAAGAGGUUGGCCUGAUUGAAGAACUGUGUCCUGAGUCAUGUCUGGUCCUAAAUUAUAAUCUGUACUUCCCCAAACUGUGUAAGUGUGCUUGUGGGGAGGGGAGAUAAUCACAGCAUGACCAC